CUCUUCACCGUUUACCCAUUCAUUGCCAUAUGAACCCUAUUUUACCCUCACAACUUCUCACCUCAAAAACACUCAAACGGCAACCACUUCUUGCUUCCUUCGACUCCGACAUUCCUCCCCUUCAUCCUAGGUCAGGUAAACAUUUUUCCUUCUGUUGUUCCUUUCAUUUUCAUGUAUGUCUUUUUUUUCUUACCCAAGUUGCGCACCGAGUGGAGGCAUUAAGGUGGCUUGGGACGAGAGAGAAUCGAACAACCAGUCGGCUUGGGAAGGGGCUGAGUGGGCCCUUGCUGGCUUAUGUGAGAGAGAGGAAUGCCGAAACAGUGUAGUACAAUGACAUCAAAUUGCAAGAGUGGGAUUUAGGUAUGUCGAUCACUACUUCUUGAUCUGGAUCUUUAACAUGUAUAGUAGAUUUUUUAUAGUACUGUCCUGAAAGUUUGAUAAUAUUUUCUUAUCGAUUUUAUUGUUUGAAGGUAAAGAGAUGUCGAAGUUCAUAAUUUCUUAUAUCAAAGGCUUGAGAUAAUGCUUGUUAUUGUAAAUCUCAACUGCAUAAAGUAGCUUUAAUCCACAACUUGCAUGAUUCUUUUGCCUCUUAUCUAUAUCUUUAUAUAUCUGUUCUUAUUAUUUCUUCCGUAAAACCUUCAUAGUAGCAGCUUUAAGCAAAUUUACAGCACUAAUCACUCUUUAUCAUCAAAGCUUUACUUUUCCGAUACUGGAUGAAAUAUGAUAUUAUGUGGGAUAUUCUAUCUCUAGCUACCAAUCCAAAAGCUAUUUCUACAAACUUAAGGUUCUUCUUUUCUGAUUCCAAGUUUGUUGUUAUUCAAAGCCACUGAACUUCGUCAAAACUAAUAGUAUUAAGUUGUGGAAUUUUAAUGCUUUAGUUUAGACUGAAAUGUAUUCAUUUAAUACCUUGUUCUACAACUUUGCUUUCUUUUAUCAUUUGGAGCUUUAAUAUUUUAACACAAGUGAUGUCAAUUUCUUGUCUUAAUAACAUCUUUAUUAUUUACUGAUUCAGGUGGACAGACAAGUAUCAGGUAACUUUCACAAACAUGCAUUGUUUUUAUAUCCCUUCAUUAUUUACUAAUAUUUUGCUGGCUAGUGGCAACUUUGAAAUAAGAUGUUUGGUUUCUAGAAGCUCUAUGUAAAGUUUGUGUUUAUGAGUUUGCAUCUAGCCGCUUAGAAAUUUAAUUAAGCUAAUAGUUUUUGCUCUAAAACUUAUAUGACAUCCCGUAAGUUCUUUUAAGUUGUAAAAGAAGUGUAUGCCUAGAUUUUAUAACUAUUGUUAUUAGGGUGUGCAUAAUUCGGGUAAAAUCGAAAAAAUUCAGUUAACUGACCGAAUUCGGUUAAUCGGUCGGUUAACCGAAUUUUUUCGAUCGGGGGUCGGUUUAUUUUUUAUGAUUUUUUGGUUAACGGUUAAUUCGGUUUGAAACCAGUCGGUUAACCGAAUUUUUCGGUUAAAUUGAAAAAAUUAAUAAAUAAAAUUAUCCAAUCCAACCCAAUUACCCAACCCAAUAAAACUAAAACUAAAGUCUAACUCUAAGUCUCUACCCAAUUACACAUGUUUUUUUUUUUUUUAGGUUUAAUGCACAUGGAGAUUUUUUGGAGGGAAGAAAUGGAUAUAAAUGGAGAAUAUUAAAGACUUACAUUUCAAUUAUGUGUUAAUUUCGAGACUUAUGUAAUGUUUUUAAUUAUGUAGUGAUUCAAAGACUUAUGUAAUAUUUUUAAUUAUGUAGUGAUUCAAUU
RNAcentral lists this long non-coding RNA (1740 nucleotides) under Gossypium barbadense (sea-island cotton). RNAcentral describes it as "long non-coding RNA (GBAR_LNC022193)". Lineage: Eukaryota; Viridiplantae; Streptophyta; Magnoliopsida; Malvales; Malvaceae. The record is from RNAcentral.